RNAcentral lists this ribosomal RNA (497 nucleotides) under uncultured bacterium. Its description in RNAcentral is "partial 16S ribosomal RNA". It matches the Rfam family "Bacterial small subunit ribosomal RNA", at positions 28 to 507 of the family's 1533-position model. The record is from RNAcentral.
GACGAACGCUGGCGGCGUGCCUAAUACAUGCAAGUUGAGCGAUGAAGAUUGGUGCUUGCACCAAUUUGAAGAGCAGCGAACGGGUGAGUAACGCGUGGGGAAUCUGCCUUUGAGCGGGGGACAACAUUUGGAAACGAAUGCUAAUACCGCAUAACAACUUUAAAAAUAAGUUUUAAGUUUGAAAGAUGCAAUUGCAUCACUCAAAGAUGAUCCCGCGUUGUAUUAGCUAGUUGGUGAGGUAAAGGCUCACCAAGGCGAUGAUACAUAGCCGACCUGAGAGGGUGAUCGGCCACAUUGGGACUGAGACACGGCCCAAACUCCUACGGGAGGCAGCAGUAGGGAAUCUUCGGCAAUGGACGAAAGUCUGACCGAGCAACGCCGCGUGAGUGAAGAAGGUUUUCGGAUCGUAAAACUCUGUUGGUAGAGAAGAACGUUGGUGAGAGUGGAAAGCUCAUCAAGUGACGGUAACUACCCAGAAAGGGACGGCUAACUACGUG